GUGAAUUGCCAUUACUCUGCAGCUGUCUUUGAGUUGGAUUUAUGGGACUGCACUGUCCACACCGCUGCCAUCUGUACAUAGCUCUGAGCCACUGUGGGAUCUGGAGUGACUAAGGUGCCUGGGCUGGCCAGGGACUGACUGUACCUGCUGGUGUGGCUGGGGGUCUGCAGAUAUCCUUGAAGCUAGGUGAUUUUAUGACCUUGAAGUCCCUCUAGGUGACUGCAGCUGUGGCUCAGUGUGUAUGCUUCUUAGGUGUAUGAGUGGUGUUCACGCAUCUGUCCUUAGCCGUGGGUGUGCCUGAGGCUGCAUGUGCAUGACGACACAUUAGGCUAGUGUCUGGAUGAAGUUCCUCUGUGGCCCAGUCACAAGGCAGUGAAAUUGGUGAACUUUGGUGCCUGACGUCGACAGCGCGCAUGAUGGGGAGAGUGGUUGGUGCCCUGCUCCAUGUGGCUGUUGGUGUGUCUGCCUCUGUGGGCAGCGCAGACAUGCACACACCCGCACCUGAGAAGCUGUGUCUGAGCCAGUCUUAUCUGUCCCCAGCUGGUGAGGUGCUGCUGCCACUGGGCUGAGGGCAGAGCUGACUCAGCCCUGAUGGGCAAAGUCUGCGAUGGGGUGAGAGAUAGCGGGCAAAGUGGUGGUUAGAGGGUUGUUUGUGUAUUCACAUGGUUGAGUUAUUCAUUUAGAGUUUGUUUGUGG
Molecule: long non-coding RNA, 696 nt
Filed under: Marmota monax (woodchuck)
Lineage: Eukaryota; Metazoa; Chordata; Mammalia; Rodentia; Sciuridae
Source: RNAcentral